UACAGAGGUCCCAAACGUUGUUCGGAUUCACUGGGCGUAAAGGGCGCGUAGGUGGCUUGGUAAGCGUGUGGUGAAAGCCUGGGGCUCAACCCCGGGUCGGCCAUGCGAACUGCCGAGCUUGAGCACUGUAGAGGCAGGCGGAAUUCCGGGUGUAGCGGUGGAAUGCGUAGAGAUCCGGAAGAACACCAGUGGCGAAGGCGGCCUGCUGGGCAGUUGCUGACACUGAGGCGCGACAGCGUGGGGAGCAAACAGG
RNAcentral lists this ribosomal RNA (253 nucleotides) under uncultured bacterium. RNAcentral describes it as "partial 16S ribosomal RNA". It matches the Rfam family "Bacterial small subunit ribosomal RNA", at positions 524 to 776 of the family's 1533-position model. The record is from RNAcentral.